RNAcentral lists this ribosomal RNA (252 nucleotides) under uncultured bacterium. RNAcentral describes it as "partial 16S ribosomal RNA". It matches the Rfam family "Bacterial small subunit ribosomal RNA", at positions 524 to 777 of the family's 1533-position model. The record is from RNAcentral.
UAUGAAGGGGGCUAGCGUUGCUCGGAAUUACUGGGCGUAAAGCGCACGUAGGCGGCUUUCUAAGUCGGGGGUGAAAUCCUGGAGCUCAACUCCAGAACUGCCUUCGAUACUGGAGCUUGAGUCCGGGAGAGGUGAGUGGAACUGCGAGUGUAGAGGUGAAAUUCGUAGAUAUUCGCAAGAACACCAGUGGCGAAGGCGGCUCACUGGCCCGGUACUGACGCUGAGGUGCGAAAGCGUGGGGAGCAAACAGGG